Molecule: small nuclear RNA, 105 nt
Organism: Erinaceus europaeus (western European hedgehog)
Lineage: Eukaryota; Metazoa; Chordata; Mammalia; Eulipotyphla; Erinaceidae
Source: Ensembl
UUGUUCUUUGCAUAAUAAAAAGUGACAUGCUGGAACCAUACUGAGAAGAUUAGUGUGGCCCUGCACAAGGAUAACACACAAAUUCAUGAAGCUUUCCAUAUUUAC